AUUAUGGCUCAGGAUGAACGCUAGCGGCAGGCUUAACACAUGCAAGUCGAGGGGCAUCGGGAGUAGCAAUACUGCCGGCGACCGGCGCAAGGGUGCGUAACGCGUGAGCAACAUGCCCGUAUCAGGGGGGAUAAUCCAUGGAAACGUGGUCUAAUACCCCAUAGUAAUUAUGUAAGGCAUCUUAUAUAAUUUAAAGCUUUGGUGGAUACGGAUUGGCUCGCGUGACAUUAGCUGGAUGGUAAGGUAACGGCUUACCAUGGCUACGAUGUCUAGGGGUUCUGAGAGGAAGGUCCCCCACACUGGAACUGAGACACGGUCCAGACUCCUACGGGAGGCAGCAGUGAGGAAUAUUGGACAAUGGAUGGAAAUCUGAUCCAGCCAUGCCGCGUGCAAGGAAGACGGCCCUAUGGGUUGUAAACUGCUUUUGUAUGGGAGCAAUAAGGGCUACGUGUAGUCCGAUGAGAGUACCAUACGAAUAAGCACCGGCUAACUCCGUGCCAGCCGCCGC
RNAcentral lists this ribosomal RNA (508 nucleotides) under uncultured bacterium. RNAcentral's name for it is "bacterial SSU rRNA". It matches the Rfam family "Bacterial small subunit ribosomal RNA", at positions 16 to 518 of the family's 1533-position model. The record is from RNAcentral.